Molecule: long non-coding RNA, 4365 nt
Organism: Capra hircus (goat)
Lineage: Eukaryota; Metazoa; Chordata; Mammalia; Artiodactyla; Bovidae
Source: Ensembl
GACAUGGUGGCUGAUUGGGCUGAGGAUCUACUGUGCACCCUGAGGGGAGGAAAGAGAGGCCCAGCGAGGAAGGCGAGAGGGAGACCAGAGCAGAAGGCUGCAGCAGAGUCUGAAUGGAUCCCCUCCUAUGCAUAUCAGGCCAGAGGCUGAAAGCAAAGCAUCAGUAACCGCCCCAGAAAGAAAAACCUGGAAAUGUUUUCAUCUCAUUUUCAAGGAGGACUUUUUACCCUAAAGACAGUCAGCAAAUGGAGAUGGCGGUAUCAGAACAACAAACUAGCAUUUCUUUCUUCUUUUUAAAAAGAAACACGAUUGUUUUGUCUCUGACUUACUCAUGUGCAGUGCGGAAAGAGGAAAUAGAGGCUGGUGAGGUAGAAGGAGCUGUCCUGCUGCUAAGUCCAAACAUUGGUGCUAAGAAGUCCCCAGACAGAUGGAGGACAUUCAUUCAGCACAGAAAUCGUGACAGAGAAGAAGUAAAGCCAAGAAAUACUGGCCUGGAAGUAACAUUAGAGGAAGCUAAGGUAGAGUGGAAAACAAAAGACUUUCUCAUUAUUUUCAACCAGCUCUAAGAGCAAUUCUACAAUAAAUAUCUUUUUUUCUGGAGUGAAUUCGUUUGAGUAACAUCUUCCAACUGAACAUCAGCUCAAUAGCUUAUGUUAUUUUAUCACUUAAAGCAAUUAGAUAUCUGAUUGUUGUCGUUUAGUCGCUAAGUCGUGUCCAACUGUAGUCCACCCGGCUCCUCUGACCAUGGUAUUUCUCAGGCAAGAAUAGUGGAGUGGGUUGCCACUUCCUUCUCCAGGGGCAGGGGAUCUUUCUGACCUAGGAAUCAAACCCAUGUCUCCUGCAUUAGCAGGCGGAUUAAUAUUAAUCCAAAACUGGCAGGACCUAACUUAUUCUUCUGAGGAGCCAUUCCUGAAGUUCUUCAGAAGUGUUUUAUUUUACCCUUGCAUGAGUAUUUAUCUAAGUGUCAUCCUAGGCCAUUCAUAUGCAAAUCAUUUGGCAGGGGAAGGGUGGUGAUGAUGGGGGUUGAAGGAUAAAAAUGCAGAUCUCCAAGUUCCACCCAGAACUUACUACACUAGACUCUGGGAAUAGAGCCUAGAAAUGAACAUUUUAAACCAUUGAGUCAUGUGAUUUUAAUAUACUCUAGGGGUUAAGCAUACUGAUACCUAGAGCAUGCCAGUCAUGAUACCAGACAAUUGAUGGUGCUCUGUGCUCUGCAAAGACUUUUGUAUAAUAUCUCAUUUGAGUCUUACCACAAGCCUCAGGGAAGAAUAUCGGAGCAGGUAUUAUCAUUUCCGUUUUAUGAAGAUGAGCCCACAGCUCUGAGUGGUCAAGUAGCUUGCACAUGGUCACAUGCUUGUAAGUGGGGUAGCCUGGACUGUAACUCAGGUCUUACAGCAUCAAGAUCAGUGCUCCUGCCAUAACCCGAAUGGUAACAACAUUCCGACUGACUAAAUGUGGAAUUUCAUCUUUGGCCACCGCCUAAAGGGAAGUAGUCUGAGCAGCCACAGGAAGGAGCAUCAUUUGUGGAAAGAGAAAAUAAAACUGAAAACUUGGAAGAUAUCAACAACCAACAUAUCUAAGGUCAUUAAUGACCUAAUCAUAAUGUUGAAUUUUUUGAAAUAUAAUAAAUAUUUUAAUUACAUAUUCAGGUGUGUUCUGGUUGACUCUAUAAUUGGUUUGAACAGAAACAAUCACAUUUUUAUAUAGUGAUGAACCACAUGAUCAGAAAUUCAAGUAAGCCACAUUCAUUUACCUUUAGUGAUAAUGGUGUUGGAAGGUAGCUAUGCUCACCAUUAUUCCACCAAUACUCGUUUUUUUAGUGAUAAUUAUGCUGAAUGAAAAUCCAUGUGACUCAAAUCUGAGUCAAGGACAUUUGGGGAAUUAUUCAUACCUAUUUUCCUUUUGUUUGCAAUCUACAAUGUCACAGUUUCAUUCUGAAAUUUUAGUGGAAUUAAAUCUGAGGAACUCAAAAAACUAUAUCAUGAAGUUUGGUUCCAUUACAAUUAUUAGCCAAUCCAAGCCUGCUAAUGAGACACACAUGGGCAACUAGUUUCACAACCAUAGUGUUAGGCAGAUGGGUAGUCCUUGUUGAACCACUACAUACAUGGUGAUGGGUAAUAUUAUGGGUCAACUUGGCUGGGGUACCAGAUAUCUAGUUAAACGUUAUUUUUAGUGUGUCUGUAAGAGUGUUUGCAGAAGAAAUUAGUAUUUGAAUUAGUAAACUGAGUAGCCCUCCCUAACAUAGGUGAGCGUCAUCCAUCCUGUUGAAGGCCUGAAUAGAACAAAAAGGUAGAGGAAGGACCAAUUUGACCCCUGCCUGAACUAUUGGUACAUUGAUCUUCUCCUGUACUCAGAUUGGGACUUACACCAUUGACACUCCAGGUUCUUCGGACCUUCAGACUCGGACUGGAACUAUAUUAGUUUUUCUAGUUCUCUGACUUGCAAAUAACUCAUUGGGGGGUUUCUCAGCCUCCAUAAUUGCAUGAGCCAAUAUCUUAUAAGGUCAAAAAUCCCUCUCUAGAGAGGGGGGUGGUUGGUGUGAGAGAGAAGUGUUGGUUUUGUUUUUCUGGAAAAUCCUCAUACUGUAUGGUGUUUUUCACCUCGACGUCUCAGUGACUACACUGCGGGGUCAUUUAGCUUUGACCCCUUGCCAGCCACUGAAUUUCUAACAUAAUAAGAAGAUCUGGGUUUUGUGUUGGGCCCAUGUACGACUGAGCGACUUCACUUUCACUUUUCACUUUCAUGCUUUAGAGGAGGAAAUGGCAACCCACUCCAGUGUUUUUGCCUGGAGAAUCCCAGGGACGGGGGAGCCUGGAGGGCUGCCGUCUAUGGGGUCACACAGAGUUGGACACGACUGAAGCGACUUAGCAGCAGCAGCAGAACUGGUAGCUGAGCUUUGUCUCAUGGCCUCAGGUUCGGCAGGCAUCUCGUGGUGUGAGAGCAUAAGUGGCUGGUUCACAGGAUGGGAAAGCCCAGACCCCUUUCCAGCAUCACUUCAAAAACAUCCUUUGGCAUGAGACACUGAAAAAACUGAGUAAGUCCUUUGUUAACUUGGAGUCUGCACGAAUGUUUAUGUCACAUUUGGUGAAAAAUGCAGAUUACCCUGCUAGGCUUACAUCACUAUAAUUAAAACUUUUGCUAAUAGUCACUUGUGGAUUAAUUAUAGUCAAUCCUGAGUUAGAAUAAAUCCAGGCCAUUGGGGGCAAUCUGGGUACAACAUAUGAUUGUAUUUCUCUAAGUGCCAGUUGGGUUGUAUAUUUUUCCAUUACCCCUCGGUCUAAUUUUUUUUCUUUCUUUUUUUUUUUGUAUCCCAGAAAUGUAUCUGUCCUCUCCACUGGAAAAAAUAUGUUAGUUUUCUAAUUUUCAAAAUAGUUUGUAGUCGUUGUUUAAUUAUUCUUUGAAUCACCUGGGUUUAUCAAGCUGUAGGAUAUAACAGGUAUGAACUGUUCCACGUACUUGAGGUGCAAGAAAUAUCACUUAUUUUUCUAGCUCAGGAUUUACUCUCUGAUCCCAGUAGUAAUUGUUUAGGAAAGGGAUCUUCGUUCUCUCUUUUCCCUCCCUGAGUUUUACCAGAUCCUCAGGACCUACUCAGUCUAGGAGGAUGGGAAAAGAGGCCUCUGUCAUUAAUCUACUUAGUCACCAGAGAAGAUGCUCCUUGCCCAAGUGGGCACAGGCCUCCCCACAGCUGGGGGGCACUGUGGCUGUACUCUCUUCUCACCAGACCAGAUAGCAUGGCAGCUGUUCCCAAGCUGAGGGGCUGGUGACUGGCCUUGACAGCAUUCCUGUAAGCCAUCCUCCACUCAAGGUCCCACCACCUUCUGGGCACUGUGUGUUCCCCUCUCCUUAGGGACAUCAAACCAGAGAACAGACCACUCUCAGCCUGAUGUCAAGCCUCUCUCCAGACACGUCAUGACUCCCACCCCAACCUCCACCCCCUGCCUCUUCUUGCCUGGAAAUCAGUGCUUCCAAACAAAGGCUUGAUCCUAGAACGUAAUAUGUGUCCUUUGGGUGCUAGGAACACAAGAAAACAAAGGCUGACUGCAUUCUCUGAUAGGAGUAAGGGGAAAUUUCCCUUUAGUCUUUGCUGAUGAGUCCACAGUAGCAGAAAGAAAAAAAAAAGCUUCCAUAAAACCAUAAACCACACACAAAAAAGGCAAGAUACCAGAUACUCUCAAUAUUUCACUCUAAGUAUGACAUAUAAGUAUAUACAAUUAUUCUGUUUUUCCUAUAAUUUUGCUUAAAUAAUGUUUAUCUACUGUUACAGUGCUUAUUCUCCCCUCUCUCCCCCAGUAUAUUUUGUCCCUAAGACUGAAAUUAUCUCUGAAAUAUAUUUUAUUCAGUUAGUGAUUUUUAUCCUCUCUCACU